UGCAAUUGCAUCAUCGUCGUCGUCUUCUUGGUCUCGGAUUUAAGAAGAAUGGCGGGGGAGAAGAAGAUUAAGAGAAAGGAUUAGUGUUAAUCA
RNAcentral lists this small RNA (93 nucleotides) under Arabidopsis thaliana (thale cress). Its description in RNAcentral is "ATSL114400". The record is from RNAcentral. Lineage: Eukaryota; Viridiplantae; Streptophyta; Magnoliopsida; Brassicales; Brassicaceae.